RNAcentral lists this ribosomal RNA (801 nucleotides) under uncultured bacterium. Its description in RNAcentral is "bacterial SSU rRNA". It matches the Rfam family "Bacterial small subunit ribosomal RNA", at positions 60 to 845 of the family's 1533-position model. The record is from RNAcentral.
AGUCGAGGGGCAGCGGGGGUGCAGGCUUGCCUGCACCUGCCGGCGACCGGCGCACGGGUGAGUAACACGUAUGGAACCUGCCCGCCACAGGGGGAUAACCCGGGGAAACCCGGCCUAAUACCCCAUGCCGCCCGGACCGGGCAUCCGGACCGGGCGAAAGGAGGAAUCCGGUGGCGGCUGGGCAUGCGGCGCAUUAGCUUGACGGCGGGGUAACGGCCCACCGUGGCGACGAUGCGUAGGGGUUCUGAGAGGAAGGCCCCCCACACUGGAACUGAGACACGGUCCAGACUCCUACGGGAGGCAGCAGUGAGGAAUAUUGGUCAAUGGGCGGAAGCCUGAACCAGCCAAGUCGCGUGAGGGAAUAAGGCCCUACGGGUCGUAAACCUCUUUUGCCGGGGAGCAAGGGCCGGGACGAGUCCCGGUCCGGAGAGUACCCGGAGAAAAAGCAUCGGCUAACUCCGUGCCAGCAGCCGCGGUAAUACGGAGGAUGCGAGCGUUAUCCGGAUUUAUUGGGUUUAAAGGGUGCGUAGGCGGGCUUUUAAGUCAGCGGUAAAAAUUCGGGGCUCAACCCCGUCCGGCCGUUGAAACUGGGGGCCUUGAGUGGGCGAGAAGAAGGCGGAAUGCGUGGUGUAGCGGUGAAAUGCAUAGAUAUCACGCAGAACCCCGAUUGCGAAGGCAGCCUUCCGGCGCCCUACUGACGCUGAGGCACGAAAGUGCGGGGAUCGAACAGGAUUAGAUACCCUGGUAGUCCGCACAGUAAACGAUGGAUGCCAGCUGUCCGGGCCGAAUGGGGCCUGGGUG